This 253-nucleotide ribosomal RNA is filed under the name uncultured bacterium. Its description in RNAcentral is "partial 16S ribosomal RNA". It matches the Rfam family "Bacterial small subunit ribosomal RNA", at positions 524 to 776 of the family's 1533-position model. The record is from RNAcentral.
UACGUAGGGUGCGAGCGUUGUCCGGAAUUAUUGGGCGUAAAGAGCUUGUAGGCGGUUUGUCGCGUCUGCUGUGAAAAUCCGGGGCUCAACCCCGGACUUGCAGUGGGUACGGGCAGACUAGAGUGUGGUAGGGGAGACUGGAAUUCCUGGUGUAGCGGUGAAAUGCGCAGAUAUCAGGAGGAACACCGAUGGCGAAGGCAGGUCUCUGGGCCACUACUGACGCUGAGGCGCGAAAGCUAGGGGAGCGAACGGG